CUGUGAUGGUGCUGGGGAGGCAGAGCCAGGAGCUGCUCAGGGGCUUCCUCCUGGUUCCACUCUGUGAUGCUGAGCUGCUGGGGACCGUGGUCUGCAGCCACUGCUGUCCCCUGGCACCCAGAGUCAAUGCGAAGAGAAAAUCAUACAGUAGCUGAAUUUUACAUUUCCACGGAGAUUUUGCCGGGACAAAAUGAAUAAGCGAUCAUAAAUUACUUCAAAAGCUCGGCUGUGUUGUUGGGAGUGGGGCUUUUUAAUUAACUGGAGGGAUUUGUCACCACUUCCCCCACUGCCCCUGCGAGUGGAAGCGAUUGCCACCAGACGUGCCUGGGCAGCCCAGCCCUGGGCAGACGAUGUGACUGCAAACCAGAAUUUGGAUGAGCUCGAAGCUGGAAAGCGUCAGCGCCUGCUCCCCAGCUCCCUUUUUUAGGUUUAGGGAUGCUGGUUUCUGCCUCUGGGUCCUGGCUCGUUGGUUAACUCAGUCGUAUCCAGGAGCAGUUAAUACAUAAUACCAAAACCUAAAGCAGCUGGAGCCAAGUCCUGCGGACGCCACUUGAGAACAUGCAGAACCUUCCUAAAUCCCCUCCGAGCAGCCAUCGGAGCGGUUUGUCAUUUAGCUCAGCGCCGAGCAGCCGUCUGUCUGCCCUGUGCGCUCACACACAAGUUUCCAAGAGGGAGAAAAAAAGGAAAAAAAAAAAACCUUUGUAAGGAUCCCGGCGUCGGGGAGCUGCUGCCAGCAGAGCCAGACACUUGCACCACGCUGGAAACAAACGACGUGCCGGGCAGCCGAGGCUGCUCGCUAUUGAAAAGGAGAAAGAACUCAUCCGGCGCUUUAGAGUAACGGAUGGCUUCUGGAACAGCGAGGGCAGCCGAGGAAGGAUUGCAUUUAUUAUCCUUGUCAUGUCUUUUAUUAGCAAAGUUAUAUCACCGGCAUUUUUCUUGCUGCUUUCUCAUUGUUUUCCCGCAACAGCCGCCACCUUUCCCUUUGCUAUCUCAUGCGGUGGGGCUGGGCCAAAAGUUUCUGCUUUUGGUGAUGUGGGGGUGCGACGUUGGGUGCUAAAAAGGGGUGGUGGGCAUGUUCGGUCCCCUCCAUCCUCAGGCUGUCCCCAGGCACGUGGCAUGGCCAGGCUGCUCUCUGCAUGGUACAAACCGCACUGAGGCAUCAUCUAAGAGGCCUCCUUCAGACCACGGGCACCUCUGCCAUCCCAGAAAAACCAGUGCUCCCAGCUCAGCAGGAUCCUGGGAUCCCUGGGCAGGCUCUCGUGCCCAUCUGAUCCCCAACGAUGUGGUGCGAGCCCCCCCCAGCUCCAGGGACGGGUUCUGCAGCUGCACCCAGCCUGGCUCGUGGCAGAACUGGGCCUUGCACCGGCUUUUAUUUCCCCUCUCCCCCGUCCACAAAUGAUCUCCUUCAAAUGAAGUUCCUGCGAUGGUUGUUGGCCAUGAUCCCAGUAGGGCAGGCGAUCACGUUGGAUUAUUUUAUUAGCGAGAUGUAGCUCUGUAGCUCAUUGCCGGGGCUGCAGCUCGGUGCUGUGCCCACUCCCAGGUCCGGAGCUGCCCCUGCCCUGUGGACGGGCUGGGCUGCCCGGCAGCUGCUUGAAAUGAGGGACUUGCUGUUUUAUCUGUCUUAAAUAUGAUACAAAUAGCAUAUCAAAACACGUAAAUGGGGCUGGGUGAGGUUGACACUUCUGGGGAAGUUGCUUUGGCUGCGUUUGGAGUUUUUGCCGAGUUCCUGCC
This is a long non-coding RNA of Oxyura jamaicensis (ruddy duck), 1731 nucleotides long. RefSeq lists it as uncharacterized. The transcript is spliced from 3 exons. The record is from RefSeq and is a predicted model, not a curated record. NCBI's taxonomy places the organism in Eukaryota, Metazoa, Chordata, Aves, Anseriformes, Anatidae.